RNAcentral lists this ribosomal RNA (382 nucleotides) under uncultured bacterium. Its description in RNAcentral is "bacterial SSU rRNA". It matches the Rfam family "Bacterial small subunit ribosomal RNA", at positions 366 to 765 of the family's 1533-position model. The record is from RNAcentral.
GGACAAUGGGCGCAAGCCUGAUCCAGCCAUGCCGCGUGAGUGAUGAAGGCCUUAGGGUUGUAAAGCUCUUUCACCGGAGAAGAUAAUGACGGUAUCCGCAGAAGAAGCCCCGGCUAACUUCGUGCCAGCAGCCGCGGUAAUACGAAGGGGGCUAGCGUUGUUCGGAAUUACUGGGCGUAAAGCGCACGUAGGCGGAUCGUUCAGUCAGGGGUGAAAUCCCAGGGCUCAACCCUGGAACUGCCUUUGAUACUGUCGGUCUAGAGUAUGGAAGAGGUGAGUGGAAUUCCGAGUGUAGAGGUGAAAUUCGUAGAUAUUCGGAGGAACACCAGUGGCGAAGGCGGCUCACUGGUCCAUUACUGACGCUGAGGUGCGAAAGCGUGGG